This is a non-coding RNA of Sus scrofa (pig), 3964 nucleotides long. NCBI's taxonomy places the organism in Eukaryota, Metazoa, Chordata, Mammalia, Artiodactyla, Suidae. The record is from the annotation of a RefSeq genome assembly.
GUUCCUGUGGGGGCGGGGUGGCAGCUGAGCUCUGCAGCUCAAGCUUGUGUCCAGGACAGAGACGUCAUUGAGUUACUGAGAGCCGACGUUCUUUUUCCCCCAGACAGAACGGGAGGACAUGAGAUUCUUUUCUGGAGCUGAAAACAUCCCCAGGCUCUUCUCCUGUGUGGCUCUCUGCCUCCUGUGGACAGGACAUGCGGAGGCCUGGAUCACUCAGAGCCCAAGAUACGAGAUCACGGUGACAGGGGAGACAGUGGCUCUGCAGUGUUACCAGACUUAUAACCAUGACUGUGUGUACUGGUACCAGCAAGACCAGGGACACGGGCUGCGGCUGAUCUUUUAUACCUGUGAUGUUGGCAUCCUUAACAAAGAAGAAGUCCCUAAUGGGUACAAUGUCUCGAGACCAAGCAUGGAGGAUUUCUCCCUGAUCCUAGAGUCUGUUGUCCCCUCCCGGACAUCUGUGUACUUGUGUGCCAGCAGUAACUCCACAGUGCUGCACAGCUGCUUCCUCUGUGCACAUAAAGGGGACUUAGAAAGAGUGAGGAUUGCCUGCCCUUGUCGGGUCUCGCCCAAACCCCAGCCCCUGCCUCCAGAAGAGUCACAGAGCAUAGCUUCCUGAUUCUCUCUUCUGGGUUCUCUGCUUGCAGAGAUGUUGCCCCUAUUAGGGCAUCUUUGGCAACUGAUGCAAAGGAUGUCUCUAUUUUUUUUUUCCAGGGCCACGUCCAUGUCAUAUGGAGGUUCCCAGGCUAGGGGUCCAAUCAGAGCUAGAGCUGCCGGCCUACACCACAGCCACAGCAACUUGGGAUCUGAGUCAAGUCUCCCAGAACCCCCUCCUUCCCUCCCUUGAGCAGUAAGAUGCCCUGUUCCUACCUUCCAUGGAAUUUGUCUUGGAUUUAUUCAGUUAUGCUGCUCAGGAAGCAGGUGAGGCCCAGGAGCACAGGGAGAAGAUUUCUUCCUGGAAUUGACAUAGCAUUUUGUAUGUAGCCCAAGAGGCCCUGUCUCCAGCCAUUCAGUCCCCACCCCCACCCUGAACGCUGCUGCCACUCAGAACCUGUAACCUCGGGGCACAAGGAGGGGCAGGUAGUGACAGUUUCAUGUGAAGAAGAUUGCCAUUGUGGAAUAGUAACUGGUGCCAACAUAAGCCGGCCUCAGACCAGCAGCUUUUCUAUCUCAGUAACAGAGAAUUUUCAAGAAAAAUAGAUGGUUCUGGGAACUCUGCAUCUUUGGGUCUUAACUUGAUAACCCUGGCAUGUAAGCCCUAAGUUUGGGAGACUCAGCAGAGUAUCUCUGAGAACAUGACUCUGCAGUUUUCACCUCUCUGACACACAUUUCCUUGGUUUUUUUUUUGUUAUUGUUGUUGUUUCAUACCAACUCUCAGGGCCUUCUCCAAUCCCCUAACCUUUUCUCCCUCACUACUCAGAAAUAAAAGGAAGUGGUUCAUAACGAAUGUUGCCCCAUUAAAAAAACAGUCAGAUACUAACCACUGAUUUCAGUUGCAUGUUAUGCUAUGUUUUUUGGAAGAUUCCAGACAGUCUGUUCAAUUUUGCAUUUCUUGCUACUGUAUCCAUCCUGGAAUUUUUCAGGCAUAAGGGAGUUCACCACCUUCCCAGACAAAAGAUAUUACAUUGCUGACCUUGAAGUACAGGCAGCACGACCAUGAAGGUUUUGGUACAUAAGGCAUCAUGGAGAUUCAUGCAAGUAAAGAGGAAACUGGUCUUUGACCUACAGAUGAAAUAAAAGCGUCCAACUCAGAUCUACACUCGGGGCAUCAUUUUUUUCCCCUUUACUUUCAAAUCUGUCCACUAGUUCAAUGAGCUUCUAGAGAAACGUGGUGGCAAUUACCCCAGCGUCCCCCUCGUCCAAUUUCAUGUGCCUGGGGAAAUAGAGCACCUGGUAAAAGCGACAACUCAAAGAGGAGGAGCUGCCUUGUGGGGACAAGGGACACAACACCGCUCCUGUUCUGCACACGCUUACAAGGACCUGAGCUGGUGAACUUCCCAUUGCUGCUCUGGCUCCGCCAUGGGCACCAGGCUCCUCUGCUGGGCGACCCUCUGCCUCCUGGGGGCAGGUGCGUUCUGAGAACACCAAGCUCUCUGCCUUGGACUUUUCCAGUGGUGAUUUCCAUCUCCUUUCCCAGAAUUUUUCAAAUUCUGUGUUUUCCUCCGACAGAACUCACAGAAGGGGGAGUCGUCCAAUCCCCCAGAUACAAGAUCACAGAGGAAAGACAGACUGUGGCUUUGUGGUGUGAUCCUAUUUCUGGCCACAAUCUCCUUUCCUGGUACCGGCAGACCCUGAGAGCUGGCCUGGAGCUGCUGAUUUACUUUGAGGAAGAGGCUGACAUAAAUGUUUCUCAGUUGCCCCAGAAGCGAUAUUUUGCAGAGAGGCCCGAAGGAGCCAAGUCUACACUCAGGAUCCAGCCCACAGAGCUGGGGGACUCGGCUGUGUAUGUCUGUGCCAGUAGAUUAGUCACAGCCUUACAGAGACCCUUCCUUCCCGUGCACAAACGUCGUGAUGCUCCCCGUCCAUGUAGCUCGAGACAGAGGCCUCCUCUCAUCAUGCAAGGGGAAGAACUGGCUGUGCAGAGACAAGCUCUGAUGUAUAUACAGGGGAGGGCAUACAUUAUUUCUGGAAGUGUGAGGGCUGAUAUUGUUGUUUGCAAAUAAUUAUGAUUCAGGGAUUAGAAACUUCCUGGUGACAACUCAAAAAUCCAAGACAGAACCUUCUUGUGGCAGACUCAAGCCUUGGGGGCUAGCGACAGUGGUUCUCCUAGAAAAAUAUAUAAUCACAAAACAUGUACAUUAAACUUUAAUAAUACAGAUGGUGGAGUUCCCAUUGUGGCUCAGAGGAAAUGAAUCUGACUGGUAUCCAUGAGGAUGCGGAUUUGAUCCCUGGCCCUGCUCAGUGGGGUUGUUGGGGUCGGGGGGGAUCCAGUGUUGCGGUGAGCUGUGGUGUUGGUCCCAGACUCGGCUCAGAUCCCAAGUUGUGAGGCUGUGGUGUAGGCUGGCAGCUCUAGCUCUGAUUGGACCCCUAGCCUGGGAACUUCCAUAUGCCAUGGGCAUGGCCCUGGAAAAAAAAAGUUUUUUAAAAAAAAAAAAACCCAAAAAAACCCAGACAGUGAUUCUAGGAGCAUAGCAAACAGGCUCUCCCGUCUGAAUGAUUCAAGUUGAUGGCCUUCUCACUCUAGCUUCUCCUCAGCUUUUACUUGGAUGUUUUCUACAUCAAAGUCUCAACAGUGGGUAUAUGUUUAGGAAAUAUUGUUUCCAGUUCUUAUGGAAAUGUGUUGAUAAUGAUGAUGCUGCUGAUAAUCUCAGCUAUUUUAUUCAGCCCUUUUCCAGCUUCGAAGAGAUAUGUGCAAAUGCGUAUCCUGGCAACCAGUCUCAAACCUUAGCUCAGACUGAAUUCUUACUCUGGAGUGAUCGAACUCUUUACCGCAACCAUCGCAGCUUGGCACUGUAUGUAAGCUUGAGCCAUUCCGUUCAGAGGCUGUUGAGGACAUUUCCCGCUCUCUGCCUUAGUACAUUCGAGCAUUCCUUAGGACAUUAAAAUACUCCUUAGUGCAUUAAAAUAUUCCUUGGUAAGAACUUCGCAAACAGUCAAUUGGCCUGAUCCACUUGCCCCCUAGGAUAAUAUACUCUUUGUUGUGAGGUUUGUAUCCUGUCCUCUAACUUCUGCCUGGGCUUGCUAUCAUCUCUGAUAAUUCUAGAGAUCAUUCUGAGGCGUUGGUUGGAAGUAUUUGGAAAGCAGUUCACUGAGAUUCUCUUGAAGGCGCAGUCACAGCCCCUCAGCCUCGACUGGCUUCACUUCUCUGCCUACCCAGACUGCAUGCCAUAAUAUAUUCCAUUCGAUGCCUGCCUCCUUGACUCUUCUGCUCACAUCUCUGCCCAGCUUACUUGUCUGAUAAAACUUCACUGAUGUGCUGUAUAGCAGAAAUUAGCAUUACCUUAUAAAUCAACUAUGGUUUAAA